Molecule: ribosomal RNA, 91 nt
Filed under: Pericosmus bidens
Lineage: Eukaryota; Metazoa; Echinodermata; Echinoidea; Spatangoida; Pericosmidae
Description: partial 12S ribosomal RNA
Source: RNAcentral
UACACAUCGCCCGUCACUCUCGCCUAGCCCCAAAAGCAAGAUGAGAAAAGUGGUAACAUAGUAGGCGCAUCGGAAGAUGCGCCUGGAAAAU